RNAcentral lists this ribosomal RNA (272 nucleotides) under uncultured Bacillota bacterium. RNAcentral's name for it is "uncultured Firmicutes bacterium partial 16S ribosomal RNA". It matches the Rfam family "Bacterial small subunit ribosomal RNA", at positions 60 to 336 of the family's 1533-position model. Lineage: Bacteria; Bacillati; Bacillota. The record is from RNAcentral.
UGCAGUCGAGCGAGAACUUUUAGUUUCUAGCGGCGGACGGGUGAGUAACACGUGGGUAACUGGCACAUAGAGGGGGAUAGCCUCCCGAAAGGGAGAUUAAUUUUCGUAUAAGAAGUAAGAAUCGCAUGGUUCAAGCUUUAAAGGAGUAAUCCGCUAUGAGAUGGGCCCGCGGCGCAUUAGCUAGUUGGUGAGGUAAAGGCUCACCAAGGCGACGAUGCGUAGCCGACCUGAGAGGGUGAUCGGCCACAUUGGAACUGAGACACGGUCCAGAC